CUGCAACUUAACUAAUAUGCAUUGAACAAGAACAAGGUUCUCUGUCACACUUAAAAGAGGAUUUAAUUUACAACAAUUAGGCACGCACCUGUAUCUAAUUAAGAAAGUAAUUAACUUAACUAAAACUAUUUCUACAUGGAAAUUAUUCUGUAUAAUCAAAGUAUUCCAAUUCCAAAACAUCAUCAUCAUCAAAGUGAUUAUCCACUGAUGUCACAAUCAUGUCAAGGUCCAAACUGCGAUGGGUAGUAGUGCUAGUGGUGCAAGACGAGUUAACCCCAGAAAUCACAUCCGCUGGAUCCAAAGUUGACAAAUGAUCUUCAGGAGAGAGAAGAUAAUCGGAGGAAGAUGACUGGUUAUGGGUAAGAUGAUGAUCAUGAUCAUUUGGCAAUUCGUUAUUGUUCUCCUGUUUUACUGACUGGAAGGAUGAGAAAAAAGGGGUAUCUUGUUUGUUUGUGAGGUGGUGGUGGCGGCCAUUGCCAAAGCUUAGUAGCAUAGAAGAAUCGGUAGCAUCAGGAGCAUCCAAGAAAAGGUGAGAAGCCUUGAGCAAGUUCUUGCAUGUAUGGUGGCCAUAGUAGGUUGUUCGGUACAUAGGAGGUUCCUCUUCAGUUCUUUGAACUUGCUUCGUUGCUUGGCAACCCUGUUCAAAUUUGUGAGUGCACCUAAAGUAGUUCCUGCCAAUUGCCAAUCAAAACAAAUGCCAUUAGAUAAUUACCAUCACAAAAAUAAAAUAAUUAAGUGAAUAUAUAUAUAUAAUAUCUCAACAAUUGAAAUGAUAUAUACCGUGGAUAUUUAGCAUUCAGGAUCACUUUCUGUCCAUAUUUUCUCCAUGCAUGGCCGUCAUCCACUAGUUCAGGACUGUUUUUUAUCCAUGAGUGGGAAGUCCUUCUGCUAGUUGUAAAAUUGAAUUUUCAUUUCAAUUGUCAAGAAAAUGCUUAUGCAUAUACAAACAUAAUGGUAUACAACUUCAGCUUUGGGUUGGAAUUGUCUAUUCCAUUUGUGAUUUUUUUUUUUGGGGGGGGGUGGGGUAUUUACAAGAAGUAUUUUUUAUGUUAAUUCUUACAUAUUGAGGGUAAAACUAAAAUAAUUAUCAAUUUAUAAUUAUUAUUUUAACGAGUAAAUUUUUAAUUAAAUGUAUGCGUGUAUACUAUGUGAAAAAUUGAAAUUAUGAUCACUCAAUUGCAAUAUAAUAUAAUAAUUAAUAAGAUGAGAAAAUAAUUUGGAUUAAAUCUGCUGAUUAGAAUAGCUCAAACCUAUUAUUUAAAAAAAAAUUAUUAAAAUCAUGAUUUUUAAUCAUAUUUUCAUUGUAAAUCUCAUGAGCUAGAUUAUUGAAUCUGAAAUGGUGGUAGCUAUGUAAUCUAUGAAUGAUAUAUAAACAAUAUUAGUAUAUUACCUCCUCUUAUAGCAUCCUCUCCGAUCCUUCCUCGUGGAAGUACUUUUGCUACUCUCGCCGGAAUCUUCAGAUUUCCGGCCAUCCCAACAAGGCGAACCUACGUGAGUACUCGCCGGAAAUUGUGAGACCUCAUCAGUCUCAGCUCUAUUCAAUAUAGAAAGAGUACUCG
Molecule: unclassified non-coding RNA, 1559 nt
Filed under: Hevea brasiliensis (rubber tree)
Lineage: Eukaryota; Viridiplantae; Streptophyta; Magnoliopsida; Malpighiales; Euphorbiaceae
Source: RNAcentral